Triticum dicoccoides is the source of this 254-nucleotide long non-coding RNA. RefSeq lists it as uncharacterized. The record is from RefSeq and is a predicted model, not a curated record. The transcript has 3 exons. Lineage: Eukaryota; Viridiplantae; Streptophyta; Magnoliopsida; Poales; Poaceae.
CACGAUUGCAGACACAACAGAUGCUUCUUCAUCUCACUGGUCUCUAGAGGAAGGAAGAGAUCUUGUCUGAAGCAAAUGAGUGCCUUAGAAGAAAAGAAAAUGAGGAGUUCAAUUGUUUCCCCAAAUUUCCUUCCACGAUUUUGUAACCCUUUGCAGAAUCGCAUGGGGAGGUUCGCAACAUUGUCUACGCAGGAAAUCAGUAUCUAUUGUCUAUCAUGUGACUAUGGAACUGAUGCAGAGUACCCUUCUUUGCA